AUAGAUAUAGUUUAAUCAAAACACUAGAUUGUGGUUCUAAAGAAAAAAGUUAAAGUCUUUUUAUCGAUC
Molecule: transfer RNA, 69 nt
Filed under: Champsodon cf. snyderi CBM-ZF 10876
Lineage: Eukaryota; Metazoa; Chordata; Actinopteri; Acropomatiformes; Champsodontidae
Description: tRNA-His
Rfam family: tRNA
About the family: Transfer RNA (tRNA) molecules are approximately 80 nucleotides in length. Their secondary structure includes four short double-helical elements and three loops (D, anti-codon, and T loops). Further hydrogen bonds mediate the characteristic L-shaped molecular structure. tRNAs have two regions of fundamental functional importance: the anti-codon, which is responsible for specific mRNA codon recognition, and the 3' end, to which the tRNAs corresponding amino acid is attached (by aminoacyl-tRNA synthetases). tRNAs cope with the degeneracy of the genetic code in two manners: having more than one tRNA (with a specific anti-codon) for a particular amino acid; and 'wobble' base-pairing, i.e. permitting non-standard base-pairing at the 3rd anti-codon position.
Source: RNAcentral